AACGAACGCUGGCGGCAUGCCUAACACAUGCAAGUCGAACGAGACCUUCGGGUCUAGUGGCGCACGGGUGCGUAACGCGUGGGAAUCUGCCCUUGGGUUCGGAAUAACAGUUAGAAAUGACUGCUAACACCGGAUAAUGUCUUCGGACCAAAGAUUUAUCGCCCAGGGAUGAGCCCCGCGUAGGAUUAGCUAGUUGGUGAGGUAAAGGCUCACCAAGGCGACGAUCCUUAGCUGGUCUGAGAGGAUGAUCAGCCACACUGGGACUGAGACACGGCCCAGACUCCUACGGGAGGCAGCAGUGGGGAAUAUUGGACAAUGGGCGAAAGCCUGAUCCAGCAAUGCCGCGUGAGUGAUGAAGGCCUUAGGGUUGUUAAAGCUCUUUUACCCGGGAUGAUAAUGACAGUACCGGGAGAAUAAGCCCCGGCGUAACUACCGUGCCAGCAGCCGCGGUAAU
This 454-nucleotide ribosomal RNA is filed under the name uncultured bacterium. Its description in RNAcentral is "bacterial SSU rRNA". It matches the Rfam family "Bacterial small subunit ribosomal RNA", at positions 29 to 524 of the family's 1533-position model. The record is from RNAcentral.